AACGAACGCUGGCGGCAGGCCUAACACAUGCAAGUCGAGCGCCCCAGCAAUGGGGAGCGGCAGACGGGUGAGUAACGCGUGGGAACCUUCCCAAUGGUACGGAAUAGCCCAGGGAAACUUGGAGUAAUACCGUAUACGCCCGAAAGGGGAAAGAUUUAUCGCCAUUGGAUGGGCCCGCGUCUGAUUAGCUAGUUGGUGAGGUAACGGCUCACCAAGGCGACGAUCAGUAGCUGGUCUGAGAGGAUGAUCAGCCACACUGGGACUGAGACACGGCCCAGACUCCUACGGGAGGCAGCAGUGGGGAAUAUUGGACAAUGGGCGCAAGCCUGAUCCAGCAAUGCCGCGUGGAUGAAGAAGGUUUUC
This 363-nucleotide ribosomal RNA is filed under the name uncultured bacterium. RNAcentral describes it as "bacterial SSU rRNA". It matches the Rfam family "Bacterial small subunit ribosomal RNA", at positions 29 to 419 of the family's 1533-position model. The record is from RNAcentral.